RNAcentral lists this small nucleolar RNA (200 nucleotides) under Microcebus murinus (gray mouse lemur). Its description in RNAcentral is "Small nucleolar RNA SNORA73 family (ENSMICG00000026111.3)". Lineage: Eukaryota; Metazoa; Chordata; Mammalia; Primates; Cheirogaleidae. The record is from RNAcentral.
UCAAAGUAUAAACACCAUAAAAGACAUACACACAUUCACAUGGCACAAAGGAGCACGGCGUAUGGAUGUGAUGGUAUAGAAUCCUGUCCCACGACAUUGGGGAUGAGCUCGUCCCCAGGCGUGGGACUGUCGUGGGCAUGCUCUGUAUAUUCCUUAUCUUAGUACCUGUUUGCUGAGGAAAAACCAUACAGGGCACAAUU